Molecule: ribosomal RNA, 915 nt
Filed under: Triticum aestivum (bread wheat)
Lineage: Eukaryota; Viridiplantae; Streptophyta; Magnoliopsida; Poales; Poaceae
Description: partial small subunit ribosomal RNA
Source: RNAcentral
GGAGCUUUCUUAGAAGCAACUGAAAAUUUGGGAUUUGGUUCCAUAGCCUCAGGACAUUAUCCACAUGUAGUCCAUCCACCCUUUGAGAAUGCUGAAGGGCCAUCGGUGCUCCAACUUUCGAAGGACGAGAUCAAGGAUCAAACUUAUUUCCUCUCACAUCUCUCUCAGCCCCAGCUUAGAUGGCUUCUUUUUCCACUGGGGUGUAUAACAAAGGAUGAAGUUCGCAGUCUGGCUGUUCAGAUGAACCUUCCUAACCAAGCUAGAAAGGAUUCCCAGGGGAUAUGUUUUCAUGGAAAGGUCAAAUUUAGAGAAUUUGUUCAAAGACAUAUAGGAGAAAUGGAGGGUAUACUUCUUGAGGCUGAAACUGGAGAUUACCUAGGGACACACCGUGGGUUUUGGUUCUAUACGAUUGGUCAGCGACAAGGUUUGCGACUUUCUGGAGGACCUUGGUAUGUUGUGGAGAAAGAUGUGCAAAAUAAUGUGGUUUUUGUAUCAAGGAAUUACUAUUCACUGGAUAAGAGGAGGCGGACAUUUCGUGUUGGAUCACUAAACUGGUUUAGUGAUUCUGGGCCAUCAGACAAUGAACGCCUUAAAUGCAAGGUACGGCAUAGUCCUGAUUUCCAUGAUUGCACCGUGGCAAAAGAGCAAACCGAAGAGAACGGAGACGUUUUGGCGGUUCUGUCCAAAGUCGACCAGGGUUUAGCAGUUAGCCAGUUUGUAGCGUUCUAUCGUGACAGUGCGUGCCUGGCAUCAGGCAUAAUCCUGGAUUCCUAUGGCGAAAUGAGCUUCCCUGUGUGUGCAAAGGCGCUGGAAACCGCUAGGAUGGAGGAUAAGUCCAAGCUGGGGAAGCCCAUAAGGAUCAUGAACUUGGAGCAUCUGGCGAAGCCAGAUCCGGAGCCGGCCAAGGUCGCUUGA